This 431-nucleotide ribosomal RNA is filed under the name uncultured bacterium. RNAcentral's name for it is "partial 16S ribosomal RNA". It matches the Rfam family "Bacterial small subunit ribosomal RNA", at positions 29 to 507 of the family's 1533-position model. The record is from RNAcentral.
AACGAACGCUGGCGGCAGGCUUAACACAUGCAAGUCGAACGCCCCGCCAGGGGAGUGGCAGACGGGUGAGUAACGCGUGGGAAUCUACCCAUCCCUACGGAAUAACGCAUGGAAACGUGUGCUAAUACCGUAUACGCCCUACGGGGGAAAGAUUUAUCGGGGAUGGAUGAGCCCGCGUUGGAUUAGCUAGUUGGUGGGGUAAAGGCCUACCAAGGCGACGAUCCAUAGCUGGUCUGAGAGGAUGAUCAGCCACAUUGGGACUGAGACACGGCCCAAACUCCUACGGGAGGCAGCAGUGGGGAAUAUUGGUCAAUGGGCGCAAGCCUGAUCCAGCCAUGCCGCGUGAGUGAUGAAGGCCUUAGGGUUGUAAAGCUCUUUCACCGGAGAAGAUAAUGACGGUAUCCGGAGAAGAAGCCCCGGCUAACUUCGUG